UUCCAUGGUGUGUUGUUCUCACUUUAUACUGAGGCAAGACUGGGGUUUUCCACUCCUACUGGUUUUUAGACAUUUAACUCAUUUAGCUUUCUUCAAAAACCCCCAGAUUACAUCACUACACAAGGUGCAAGGCAGUGAAGCAACAACAUUCCUGUCUGGAUUAUUACAGGGAGGUGACUUCCGUCGUCAAAUUCAAAUCUGACCACCAGCUGCCCUGAAGUUUGGUACCUGUUUGGACCUAGCAUUUCUGUUAAGGUCAACCUCUGGCACUAAUAAGGAAUUUAGUUCAACCAAGAACAUUUUCUAUGUAAUAAAUCAUCUUACACUAUUAGUAAGGCAGUGCUCAGACAGACCACAUUACCAAAUUGAAAGAUUCUUUCAGAAUUUUCUUCCACUGUUUUAUUAGGUUAAGUAUGUACAGGAGAUGUCCAGCUCAAUGAAGGUGAAAACACUGUUAUCAGAAGUUACUGUAAGGAAGUCUGAAAAUGAAGUCUGAAAAUGAUUUCCUUUCAAAGGAAAAAAAAGCCAGCAUAGAAUGUGAUGGAUAUUCCAGACUGGAAACUGAAUCAAGCUGGGAUCUGUUCUCAUGCAUCAUCACCAUUAAUAAAGAACAUAGAUAUGCACAGACACACAAAAGCAACCCCCUAUUCUACAGACGAUGCCCUCGUGGACCUCGGAGCAUUCUUUCUUUCUUUCCUUUCCUUAAAAUAGUACAAAGAUUCCAUUACAUUCUAUGGGAAACAUGCUGGGAUGGAAAAGCUUAAAGAAAGAAAAUCCUGACAUCUAUGAUUCCAUGAACAGUGACUAUUGUGCCCUGGGAAGUAGGGUCAAGGAGUCAGGGGCAUGGGCUGUGUUCUUGUCCAUUAUCCAGGUAAGGAUAAAGUUUGGGGCUUCAUCUUCCUUAGUCACAGGAUGUUAUUCUAGGAAAAGUCUGCUGGGAAGAGAUUUCAGUGUUCAAGUCUUGCAGUCAAGGCAGUAUGUGAUAAUUUCAGCCUUAGUUCUUAAGGAAAAGGUAAGUUUCUAGCUCUUGUGGAUGUGCAGCACGUCCCCUCCUGUCUCCUCUGCGUGUAGGCGUUGGCAGGUGGCCCUGUGUGCUACCCGAUCUGCAGGCGCUGCCCUUGCAACUCCUACUGGGGGCAAUGUGCAAAGCCCCCUGCCUGUGCCUAUGCAUAGGAACCAGAGGAAGGACAUGCUGCUGCUUUCAGGAUCCACAUAAAGCAAGGUAAGCUUGAGAGCUUAAAGGCCAGAUUAAAAUAGCCAUGGGCUGUAGUUUGCCUACCCCAGGUACAGAAUGGGUAUGGGAGCCAGAGGUCCCAGAUGCUUGCCCUGCACCGAAGCUCCUGACUGCCAUCCCAAGUGCCAGGGGGGCUGUUGCUGGCCCUGUGUGCAGGGGUGCUGGUUUGAGCCUGUACUCUGGGGGGGCCUCUGCUGCUGGCCAUAUGCCCAGGGUCUCAGUGGGAUCCUGGUUCAAGCCCUACAUCUGGGCUCCUGGCUGCCACCCCAUAUGCCAGGGGUGCUUUUGCCAGCCCCCUGUAUUGGGGUACUGGUAUGAGCCCUGUAUGUCAGGGGUCCUGGCUGCCAGUCCUAUGUACCAGGGCUUUGUUCCUGUCCUCAGCUGGGAGUGGGAGUGGACAGGCGUAAGGGACCUCAGCAUCCCAACUUUUAAAAAUGUUUCUGCACCACUGUGGAGUAGGAAAAUCAACAGCAUCAAGACGGCUGAGGAGUUUAAUGCCUAUUUUGCUCAAAUCUUCACU
Pelodiscus sinensis (Chinese soft-shelled turtle) is the source of this 1754-nucleotide non-coding RNA. Lineage: Eukaryota; Metazoa; Chordata; Testudines; Trionychidae. The record is from RefSeq and is a predicted model, not a curated record.